Molecule: ribosomal RNA, 429 nt
Filed under: Bacteroidota bacterium
Lineage: Bacteria; Pseudomonadati; Bacteroidota
Description: Bacteroidetes bacterium partial 16S ribosomal RNA
Rfam family: Bacterial small subunit ribosomal RNA
Source: RNAcentral
UAGGGAAUCUUCCGCAAUGGACGCAAGUCUGACGGAGCAACGCCGCGUGAGUGAAGAAGGAUUUCGGUUCGUAAAACUCUGUUGUUAGAGAAGAACAGCGCAUAGAGUAACUGUUAUGCGUGUGACGGUAUCUAACCAGAAAGCCACGGCUAACUACGUGCCAGCAGCCGCGGUAAUACGUAGGUGGCAAGCGUUGUCCGGAUUUAUUGGGCGUAAAGCGAGCGCAGGCGGUCAAUUAAGUCUGAUGUGAAAGCCCCCGGCUCAACCGGGGAGGGUCAGUGGAAACUGGUUGUCUUGAGUGCAGAAGAGGAGAGUGGAAUUCCAUGUGUAGCGGUGAAAUGCGUAGAUAUAUGGGGGAACACCAGUGGCGAGGGCGACUCUCUGGUCUGUAACUGACGCUGAGGCUCGAAAGCGUGGGUAGCAAACAGG